This 497-nucleotide ribosomal RNA is filed under the name uncultured bacterium. RNAcentral describes it as "partial 16S ribosomal RNA". It matches the Rfam family "Bacterial small subunit ribosomal RNA", at positions 28 to 507 of the family's 1533-position model. The record is from RNAcentral.
GAUGAACGCUGGCGGCGUGCCUAAUACAUGCAAGUCGAGCGAACGGACGAGAAGCUUGCUUCUCUGAUGUUAGCGGCGGACGGGUGAGUAACACGUGGAUAACCUACCUAUAAGACUGGGAUAACUUCGGGAAACCGGAGCUAAUACCGGAUGAUAUUUUGAACCGCAUGGUUCAAAAGUGAAAGACGGUCUUGCUGUCACUUAUAGAUGGAUCCGCGCUGCAUUAGCUAGUUGGUAAGGUAACGGCUUACCAAGGCAAAGAUGCAUAGCCGACCUGAGAGGGUGAUCGGCCACACUGGAACUGAGACACGGUCCAGACUCCUACGGGAGGCAGCAGUAGGGAAUCUUCCGCAAUGGGCGAAAGCCUGACGGAGCAACGCCGCGUGAGUGAUGAAGGUCUUCGGAUCGUAAAGCUCUGUUAUUAGGGAAGAACAGAUGUGUAAGUAACUGUGGACAUCUUGACGGUACCUAAUCAGAAAGCCACGGCUAACUACGUG